Molecule: transfer RNA, 73 nt
Filed under: Synechococcus phage B23
Lineage: Duplodnaviria; Heunggongvirae; Uroviricota; Caudoviricetes; Pantevenvirales; Kyanoviridae
Also listed under: 1 other name
Description: tRNA-Arg
Rfam family: tRNA
About the family: Transfer RNA (tRNA) molecules are approximately 80 nucleotides in length.
Source: RNAcentral
GGGCGCAUGGUGAAGUGGAUUAUCACUAGGAGCUUCUACCUCCUCAUCCCUGGUUCGAAUCCAGGUGCGCCUG